RNAcentral lists this ribosomal RNA (253 nucleotides) under uncultured bacterium. Its description in RNAcentral is "partial 16S ribosomal RNA". It matches the Rfam family "Bacterial small subunit ribosomal RNA", at positions 524 to 776 of the family's 1533-position model. The record is from RNAcentral.
UACGUAGGGUGCGAGCGUUGUCCGGAAUUAUUGGGUGUAAAGAGCUUGUAGGCGGUUUGUCGCGUCUGCCGUGAAAAUUCGAGGCUCAACCUCGAACUUGCGGUGGGUACGGGCAGACUAGAGUGUGGUAGGGGAGACUGGAAUUCCUGGUGUAGCGGUGAAAUGCGCAGAUAUCAGGAGGAACACCGGUGGCGAAGGCGGGUCUCUGGGCCGAAAUUGACGCUGAGGAGCGAAAGCGUGGGGAGCAAACAGG